AUUUACUUUAUGCCAAAACUUCUAUUAAUUUACAAUUAGAAUUAUUAUGGUUAAUUUUUUGAGUAGUUCCCAUAGUUUUUCAGUCUGACCUGAUCAAAAUCCAUAAAUCUUGCAAAGUCUCAGGAAGUUUUGUGUCUGAGAUUUUAUCAAUUUUAUACAGAAAAGCCUAUUAGAUUCAUUUCCCAUUAGAUAUAUACUGUUCCCAGGUUGAAUAGUUCAAAAAUCUGACUGAUACUAACCAUUAAAGUCAGCUCCGAUCGCCAUUAUAUUCCAUGCUUCAAUCCUCAUUAUAUUCCAUGCAUCAAUCCUAAUGGACAAGCUGUGGUGCUAACCUGAAAUAUAAAAUGCCGCCCUUCAUCUUUAAUUUUUUUUUUUUAAAUGAUAAUUGUAAUAUACUAUUCGUACAAAUUGUUGAAAGUCAAUAAAUAUGAUAAAGAUGUUAAAAACAUAUCGAUCCCAUAGAUAAUCUAGCAACAGCAAUCCAGC
RNAcentral lists this long non-coding RNA (486 nucleotides) under Mytilus galloprovincialis (Mediterranean mussel). The record is from RNAcentral. Lineage: Eukaryota; Metazoa; Mollusca; Bivalvia; Mytilida; Mytilidae.